RNAcentral lists this RNase P RNA (406 nucleotides) under Rubeoparvulum massiliense. RNAcentral describes it as "Bacterial RNase P class A". It matches the Rfam family "Bacterial RNase P class A". Rfam says of the family: Ribonuclease P (RNase P) is a ubiquitous endoribonuclease, found in archaea, bacteria and eukarya as well as chloroplasts and mitochondria. Its best characterised activity is the generation of mature 5'-ends of tRNAs by cleaving the 5'-leader elements of precursor-tRNAs. The record is from RNAcentral. Lineage: Bacteria; Bacillati; Bacillota; Bacilli; Caryophanales; Bacillaceae.
AGUAGAGCGGGUAAUCGCUGGCAAGGUAACUUGCAAGAGGAAAGUCCGGGCACCAUAGGGCGAAGAUGCCAGCUAACAGCUGGACAUCGCGAGAUGAUGGCUAGUGCCACAGAAACAGAGACCGCCGAUGGAUGCGCAAGCAUCACAGGUAAGGGUGGAAGCGUGAGGUAAGAGCUCACGAGGUAGGUAGGCAACUGCUUAUCUGGUAAACCCCAUCUGGUGCAACUCUAAGAGUAGGACAGGUGUUUAAUCACCGAACGUGCUGCCCGUACGUGUCCUUGAUGGUAAGAGGCUUGAGUUUAUCUGUGAAGGUAAACCUAGAUAAAUGAUUACCACUCCAAGAGGUGGGAGCAGACGAUGCGAUAUGACCACCUGGAGAACAGAACCCGGCUUAUAGCUCUACUUC